AGUGAACGCUGGCGGUAGGCCUAACACAUGCAAGUCGAACGGCAGCACAGUAAGAGCUUGCUCUUACGGGUGGCGAGUGGCGGACGGGUGAGGAAUACAUCGGAAUCUACUUUUUCGUGGGGGAUAACGUAGGGAAACUUACGCUAAUACCGCAUACGACCUACGGGUGAAAGCAGGGGAUCUUCGGACCUUGCGCGAUUGAAUGAGCCGAUGUCGGAUUAGCUAGUUGGCGGGGUAAAGGCCCACCAAGGCGACGAUCCGUAGCUGGUCUGAGAGGAUGAUCAGCCACAUGGGAAGUGAGACAGGGUCCAGACUCCUACGGGAGGCAGCAGUGGGGAAUAUUGGACAAUGGGGGCAAGCCUGAUCCAGCCAUACCGCGUGGGUGAAGAAGGCGUUCGGGUUGUAAAGCCCUUUUGUUGGGAAAGAAAAGCAGCAGGUUAAUACCCCGCUGUUCUGACGGUACCCAAAGAAUAAGCACCGGCUAACUUCGUG
This 492-nucleotide ribosomal RNA is filed under the name uncultured bacterium. RNAcentral describes it as "partial 16S ribosomal RNA". It matches the Rfam family "Bacterial small subunit ribosomal RNA", at positions 29 to 507 of the family's 1533-position model. The record is from RNAcentral.